RNAcentral lists this ribosomal RNA (497 nucleotides) under uncultured bacterium. RNAcentral's name for it is "partial 16S ribosomal RNA". It matches the Rfam family "Bacterial small subunit ribosomal RNA", at positions 28 to 507 of the family's 1533-position model. The record is from RNAcentral.
GAUGAACGCUGGCGGCGUGCCUAAUACAUGCAAGUCGAGCGAACGGACGAGAAGCUUGCUUCUCUGAUGUUAGCGGCGGACGGGUGAGUAACACGUGGAUAACCUACCUAUAAGACUGGGAUAACUUCGGGAAACCGGAGCUAAUACCGGAUAAUCUUUUGAACCGCAUGGUUCAAAAGUGAAAGACGGUCUUGCUGUCACUUCUAGAUGGAUCCGCGCUGCAUUAGCUAGUUGGUAAGGUAACGCCUUACCAAGGCAACGAUGCAUAGCCGACCUGAGAGGGUGAUCGGCCACACUGGAACUGAGACACGGUCCAGACUCCUACGGGAGGCAGCAGUAGGGAAUCUUCCGCAAUGGGCGAAAGCCUGACGGAGCAACGCCGCGUGAGUGAUGAAGGUCUUCGGAUCGUAAAACUCUGUUAUUAGGGAAGAACAUAUGUGUAAGUAACUGUGCACAUCUUGACGGUACCUAAUCGGAAAGCCACGGCUAACUACGUG